RNAcentral lists this ribosomal RNA (213 nucleotides) under uncultured bacterium. RNAcentral's name for it is "partial 16S ribosomal RNA". It matches the Rfam family "Bacterial small subunit ribosomal RNA", at positions 524 to 736 of the family's 1533-position model. The record is from RNAcentral.
UACGUAGGGUGCUAGCGUUGUUCGGGAUCAUUGGGCGUAAAGCGCGUGUAGGCGGUUAGUUAAGUCGAGUGUGAAAUCCCUGGGCUCAACCGAGGAAGUGCACCCGAAACUAACUAGCUGGAAGAUGGUAGAGGAAGGUGGAAUUCCAAGUGUAGAGGUGAAAUUCGUAGAUAUUUGGAGGAAUACCGGUGGCGAAGGCGGCCUUCUGGACCA